Molecule: ribosomal RNA, 323 nt
Filed under: uncultured Rhogostoma
Lineage: Eukaryota; Cercozoa; Thecofilosea; Cryomonadida
Description: SSU rRNA
Rfam family: Eukaryotic small subunit ribosomal RNA (bases 105-323)
Source: RNAcentral
GAUUUCUGGUACAAUGCACCUGGCCCGCGGCCUAUUAGGCUUGUGAGUGCCGGCGCGCGUUUACCAUCCUUCUAGAAAACAGGCCUGCCCUUUACUGGGUUGGGUUUGCGAUCUAGAUCUUUUACUUUGAAAAAAUUAGAGUGUUUAAAGCAGGCUUUUGCUAUGAAUACAUUAGCAUGGAAUAAUAAUCUAGGACUUCGGUUCUAUUUUGUUGGUUUCUAUAACUGAAGUAAUGAUUGAUAGGGAUAGUUGGGGGUGCUCGAAUUCAGCGGCCAGAGGUGAAAUUCUUGGAUUCGCUGAAGACGAACUCAUGCGAAAGCAUU